UCUUGCAUCGAUGAAGAACGUAGCGAAAUGCGAUACUUGGUGUGAAUUGCAGAAUCCCCGUGAACCAUCGAGUCUUUGACAGCAAGUUGCGCCCGAAGCCAUUAGGUUGAAGGCACGUCUGCGUGGGCGUCA
RNAcentral lists this ribosomal RNA (132 nucleotides) under Arbutus canariensis. RNAcentral's name for it is "5.8S ribosomal RNA". It matches the Rfam family "5.8S ribosomal RNA", at positions 26 to 154 of the family's 154-position model. From Rfam's summary of the family: 5.8S ribosomal RNA (5.8S rRNA) is a component of the large subunit of the eukaryotic ribosome. It is transcribed by RNA polymerase I as part of the 45S precursor that also contains 18S and 28S rRNA. Lineage: Eukaryota; Viridiplantae; Streptophyta; Magnoliopsida; Ericales; Ericaceae. The record is from RNAcentral.